Molecule: long non-coding RNA, 28389 nt
Filed under: Homo sapiens (human)
Lineage: Eukaryota; Metazoa; Chordata; Mammalia; Primates; Hominidae
Description: long non-coding RNA NONHSAT153273.1
Rfam family: Metazoan signal recognition particle RNA (bases 15772-15930)
Source: RNAcentral
GAAAGGUUGUGUGUAUAUAAUAUAUAUAUAUGUGUGUAUAUAUAUAUGUGUUUGUGUGUGUGCAUGCCCACAAGCAUAUGUAUAUGUAUGUAUGUAUGUAUGUGUGUGUGUAUAUAUAUGCCCAUAUACAUAUAGUAAUCCUUAGGGUAACCAGUAAAAAAAAAAGCAAAAAAGUCUAGCUAAAAAUCCAUGUGGACAACUAAAAUAUAAUUAACAUUUUUUGAGAUAUUUCCUCCAAGGGAAGGCAGAAAUGUAGGAACAGAAGAAUAAAGAACAGAUGAGAUAAGUAAAGAACAAUAACAAAAAAAUAGACCCAAACCCAAGCAUAUCAGUAGUUCAUUAAAAAUUGAUAGACUUAACACUCCAGUAAAAGGCGGAGACUUUCAGAAUGAAAGUGUGAGAGGAAAAAACAAACUUUUUUUUUUACUUCUACCUGCCAACACAGAUCAUGUCUAUGACCUCUGAUCAGCAAUCCUCACCAGCAACCAAUGCCCUAGCAGAUUCUUCAGUGAACACCAGCUGAAUGUCCUAUAACUCAAUUCAAUUCUGACAGUAUCUACCUGGAGAUAGCAUCAGAUCCCACAGGUUGAGGGCUCAGUCUCACAAGAUUGCUUCCCACUCCAAAUGCCAACUGCAAGUAAUAAGUUGUCACCUACACAGUCAUUCCUUGGUAGCUGCAGGGAUUGGUUCCAGAAUUUUCUGGAGAUACCAAAAUCUGCAGAUGUUCCCAUCCCUUUUAUAAAAUGGUGUAGUAUUUGCAUAUAAUUUAUGUACAUCCUUCUAUAUACUUUAUGGUAUCUCUAGAUUACUUAUAAUAUCUAAUACAAUGUAAAUAUUAUGUAAAUAGUUGUCAUACUGUAUUUUUAAAUGUUGUGUUUUUUUAUUGUUAUAUUGUUAUUUUCUUUAUUAGUUUUCUUUUCCCAAAUAUUUUCAACCCAUGGUAGCUUGAACCCGUGAAUGUGGAAACCAGGGAUGCAGAGAGCUGAUUGCACUUCUGAUCGAUAGGUUAUAAAUUGGGGAUUCUCUGACCCCCUUCUUUAAGUUCAAUUGAUUUGGUAGGACUGCUCACAAAAUCUGUGGAAACAUGUAUGUUUACUUGUUCAUUAUAGAGGAUAUUACAAAGAAUACAAAUAAACAGGCAGAUGGAUGGGUGCAUAGGGCAAAGUAUGUGGGAAAGGUCAUGGAGCUUCCGUGCCUUCUCCAAGUGCACCACCCUUCAGGAAUCUCCACAUGUUCAACUAUCUGGAAGUUCUCUGAACCCAGCACUUUUGGUUUUCUGUGGAAGCUUCAUUAAAUAAGUAUGCUUGAUUACCUCAUUGGCCAUUGGUGAUCAACUCAACCUUCAGCCUCUCUUUCCUCACUAGAGGUGGAGGGGUAAAAUUCCAACCUUCUAACCACAUGAUUUGUUCCCUUAGCAAUGAGUCCCCAUCCUGAGGCUAUUCAAAAGACUCCAGCCAUCAGCAAAUCAUUAGCAUACAAAAAGACACUUAUCAUUUUGGAGAUUCCAAUGGUUUGAGAAAUUACAUGCCAGAAAACAGGGAGGAAAACUAAAUAAGUAUUUCACAAUAUCACAGAAAGAAAAUAGGACUCAAUUAUAUGCUGUUUACAAAAGACUUCUUUUCAAUAUAAAUACACAAGUAGAAAAAUAAAGAGAUCUGGAAAGAAAUACCAUAUCAACAGUUAGCAUAAUAAGGCUGAAGUGGUUAUAUUAAUAUCAAAUAAAAUAGAUAAAAAACUAAAAUGCAUUGCCAGAGAUAAAGGGAGACCUUUUGUAGUGUUUCAUUGGGAGAAACAUAAAUGUAUAUGCUCUGAGUAACAGUUUCAAAUACAGGAAUAAAACAUUGACAGAAUGAAACAGGUAAGUAAAUAAUUUCACAAUCAUUGUUAGAAAUUUUAACACUUCUUUCUCUUGUCAACUGAUGGAAGAACUAAACAAAAAAUCAGCAAUGACAUAGAAAAUCUAAACAACAUUACAAACCACCUCAAUUGAUAUUGAUAGAACCCCAACAAUUGAAGCAUGUAAAUUCAAGUGCAAAUGGUAUGUUAACCAACAUAAUCCAUAUUCUAGAUCAUAAAAUAAGUCUCAACAAUAUUCAAAAGAUUGAAAUCAAACCAAGUAUGUUAUCUGACCACAAUAAAAUGGAUUAUAAACAAAUACAAAUAAAAUAACUAGAAAAAGCCUAAAUGCUUGAAAAUUAAACAAACAAUAUAUUUUUAAAAAUUAUUAGAAGGCCGGGCACGGUGGCUCAUGCCUGUAAUCCCAGCACUUUGGAAGGCCGAGGUGGGCGGAUCACAAGGUCAGGAGAUCGAGACCAUCCUGGCUAACAUGGUGAAACCCUGUCUCUAUUAAAAAUACAAAAAAUUAGCCAGGUGUUGUGGUGGGCACCUGUAGCCCCAGCUACUCAGGAGGCUGAGGCAGGAGAAUGGCAUGAACCCGGGAGGUGGAGCUUGCAGUGAGCUGAGAUUGCGCCGCUGCACUCCAGCCUGGGUGACGGAGUGAGACUCCUUCUCAAAAAAAAAAAAAAAAAAAAAAAAAAAAAAAAAAAUUAGAGCAAAGAAGAAAUCAAAAGAUAAAUUAUAAGAUAUUUUGAACUGAAAGAAAAUGAAUAUGUAACACAUCAAAUAUCUAUGAGGUACUUAGGGAAAGAUGGACAGCUUCAAAUGCCUAUAAUGGAAAAGGAGGAAGGUAUCAAACCAGUGAUAUAAAUUAUAAGCCUAGAAACUAGUAAAAUGAGAAUAAAUUUAACCCAAACCUAACAGAAAGUAGGAAAUAACAAAAAUUAGAGCAUGACUCAAUAAAAGAGAAUACAAAAAAAUAGAGAAAAUCAGUAAAACCAAAGUUGAUUCUUCAAAAAAAGAGAAAAGACACAAAUUAUCAAUGUUAGAAAUGAGCAAUAAGGCAUCACUACAGAACCCACAGAAACUAAAAAAGAUAAUAAGAAAAUAUUAUAAACAAUUUCAUGCCAAUAAAAUUGACAACCUAGGUGAAUUUAGCAAAGUCCUUCAAAAACACAGAUUACCAAAAUUGACCAAAGAAGAAAUAGAAAGCUUGAACAGCAAUAUAUCAAUGAAGAAAUUGAAUUUAUAAUCUAAAAUCUUCCCACAAAGAAAAACCUAAGUGUAGAUUGCUUUACUGACGAAUUCUUUAAAACACUUAAGGAAGUGAUAAUAUCAGUUCUACACAAACACUUUCAGAAAAUAGAGGAGGGAACACUUUCCAAGGUAUAUUAUGAAGCUAAUGUUAUUCUGAUUUGAAAACCAAAGAGAUCACAAGAGAACAUCAGACCAAUACUCCUCAUAAACACAAACAUGAAAGAGUUCUCAAAAAUAUUACCAAAUUGAAUCAAAUAAUAUAUAAAAAUGAUAAGACAUUGUAAUCAAGUGGUUUUAUCCUGGGAAUGCAAGAUUGAUUUAACAUCUAAAAAUGAAUUUGUCUAAUUCACACUAUUAAUAGAAUAAAGGAGAAAACCCAUAUGAUUAUUUCAAUAAAGGCAGAAAAACGUGACAUAUUUAUCACUCUUUUGAGAUGAAAAUCUUUGGGAAACUAGAAAUAUAAGGGACUUUCUUCAACCUAAGAAUGUGUAUUAAAAACCUACAGCUGUCAAUGCUUUCUAUCUACAAUCAAGAACAAGUUCAGGAUAUCUGCACUUACCAUUUCUAUUUAACAUUGUACUGAAUGUCCUAGCCAGGAUAAUUAGAUAAGAAAAAGAAAUAAAAGGUAUAAAUAUUGGAAAAAUAGAAUUAAAACUCAGGAUGGGAAUGCCACAUAGUACAGCCACUUUGAAAAAUAGCAUGGCAGUCUUGUCAAGUUAAACAUAGACUUACCACAUGACCUUGCAACUUCACUCCUAGGUAUUUACUCAAGAGAAAUGUCAACAUACCUCCACACAAAGAUGUGUAUAUGAAGAUUAAAGCAGUUUUAUUCAUAAGAGCCAAACACUGGAAAUAAUUUAAAUGCUCACUCAUUGAUAUACAAAUGAACAAUUAUAGCAUAUUCAUACUGAGGAAUACCACUCAGCAGUAAAAAGGAACAAAAUAUUAGUACAUAAGAGAAUAUAAAUGAAUUUCAAGGACAUUGAGUGAAAGAAGUCAAACACGAAAGAACAAAGACUACAUACUGUAUGAUUUUACUGCAGUGACAGAAAUCAGAUCAGUGGUUGCUUGAGGGUCAGAAGAAGGGAUCAACUAAAAAGGAGCACAAGGAAGCUUUUAGAAUAAGAGAAAUAUUACGUAUCUUUUCUUUCCAUGCCAUGAAGAGCUGGAUAUCAUAUAUCUUAAUAGUGGUGGUUACAUGGUUACAUAUAAUUAUCAAAAUUUAUCAAACUGUACACCUAAAAUGGAUGAUUUUUUGCAUGUAAUACCUUAAUUUUUUAAAAAAGAUGAUUUUUUUAAGUGAUUGGGUUAAAAGUUGGCCACAACAAACCUGGUUUGACUUAGCACUUAAGUCCAUGGGAAAUUUAUUUACCCUCUCAAGGCUCAGUUUCUACUUUUAUAAAACAGAGAUGAGUAUCUCUCUUACAAAAUUGUGGUGAUGAGUAAACAGGAUAAUUGAUGCACCUGCCACCAAAUCGGUGCUCAAUACACAUAAACCAUGAAGAUAAAAGGAGGCUGGCAGGACAGGUAGAAUGCACAUUCCAGAGAGAGCAAACAACACAUGCAGAGGCAUAAAGGUGAAUGAGCAGGAUCAACUGUUCAGUCUGGUGGGAGUGUAGGGAGAGGGAAAAUGUAGGAAAUGAGAACCAGGAUGCUGAUCCUCGAAGGCCCCUGCCUACCACACUAAUGAGUUUGGAUUUUAUUUUGAAGUCCCUGGGAGUUAUUAAAGGGGCAGUGCAAUGUAGUGUUUAAUUAUAUUUUGGAGCCAGAUUGGAUUUGAAUUUUGGUUCUCUCAUUUAUUAACUGUGAAACUUUGGAAAGUUCUUCACGUUCUCAGUAGUUUUCUCAACUGUAAAAACGAAAUCAUCUCACUUGUUAUGACGAUUAAAUGAGUGCUACGUUUUCCACAUUCUCUGGCACAUAACAAUCAAUGUGAUUAAACUUGCAUUUUAGGGUGUGGACAGUGGUUCGUAGGCAACAGGCAGCAAGGAAAUCCAUGAGAAAAGAGUUUCACUCUCUAAGUGAAAACUGAAGGUGACCCAAGCUAAGGCAAUGAUCAUAAGGACAGGAAAGGAGACAGGUUGGGAAAAUAUAUAGGAGGUGGAGUCAACACAGCUCAGGACAAUGGGGUGGUCAUGAGGGGAAGAAAGGAAUCAAAGGUAACACUCACCGAGGUUUCUGGUCUUGGAGGUAGGGCCAUUUAUCUAGAUUUAGGGGCCUUGCACAGUGACUCACAACUGCAAUCCCAGUACCCUGGGAGGCUGUGCCAGGAGAAUUGCUUGAGGCCAAGAGCUCAAGACCAGCCUGGACAACAUGGCUAGACCCUCAUCUCUACCAAAAAUUACACACACACACACACACACACACACACACACACACACACGGGAAACACAAGACCACCAUUUCUCACAUCAACUUCUCACUGAAUGAGGUUAUUAUAUCUGCUCAUGACUAAAACACAUUUCCCCACCCUAUCCCCAAGGUGCCCCCAACAAAUGCACGCUACAUUGAAUUGCUGAUCAGAGAUUAGAGGGGUAUGAGCAGGUCUGGAAGGAAUGCAGGUUUCUAGCUGGACACUAAGAAAAGGAAAAGUGAUCACAUUUAAGAUGGAAAAUGAACAGCUGCCUUCCCCAGGAAAGGAAGUUUGUAUCAUCUCACUGUAUCUCCUCUGUGUUUCCCUUUGUGACUCCAAAAAAAUACUGACAAACACUCUAAAUGAAAAACAUCCCUAGAAAAAAAAAAAGAGAAUCUUACAGAAUCUUACUACAAAAUGAAACCUACGAGUCUGCCCUACUUAGAAGACAAGGAAACUGUAGAGGCUGCUAGCUCCUGUAGCCAAGUGUGGCUGCACAGAGCAUCACAGCAAACAUGUCACAUUCAAAUGCACUGUGGCUUCCUGUAAAAGAAUUGACUCAUAUAUAUCAUAGAAACGUCUAAUAGAUAAUGUCUAUUACAUUAUAAUUUUUUUUGCUUACUUGGCUAAAUUUACUGAAAUACAUAUUUACUUUUUCUACAUGUAUUGCUUACCUUGUAAACAAUUUGGAAUGUCAUUUUCUCCCUAAUUUGUGUUUUAUGUCUUGUAUCAAUUUUACUGUGUUAAAUCAAGUUCAGCCUAAAGCUGCCUCCUUACGUAUUUUAAGUUCAGCCUAAAGGUUUCUCUGUACAUCGUGAACUAUAACAAGUGGAGGUGUAAACCGAUGGUAGCCCACACUUGUGCCAAUUGCUGAGUUUUGGCCAAUCAAAUGUAGCCAACUGUUUGAACCAUGUUCAAAUAAAGCAAACCCUGAGCUGUAACAAAUCCGCUGCCUCUGUCCCUCACUUCCUCUUUCUGUUCAUAAACAUUCUUCCACGACGUGCUGUGCUGGAAUCCCUGAGCCUGCUCUGGCCUGGGAGGCUGCCUGAUUUGUGAGUCCUUCAUUGCUUCAUUAAAUUCUUUUACAUUUAAUCCGGUUGAAGUUUUCCUUUAAUGAACUGAUUUUUUAAAAAGUACCUAAGGUUAGCUUUAAAAAAAAAAAUCUGUCCUUAAAAAUUGGGUUGGCCAGGCGCAGAAGUGCAGUGGCUCAUGCUUGUAAUCCCAGCACUUUGGGAGGCUGAGGUGGAAGGAUCGCUUGAGUCCAGAAGUUCAAGACCAGCUUGGUCAACACAGUGACACCUGGUCUCUUAAAAAUAAAAGAGAGAGAGAGAGAGAAAUAAUUGGGUUGUGACUUAUACUCUAUACAAUGUAUAUAACAAGACAUACAAUAUAUCUAGUUAGAUAGAGAGCCAUAGUUCCAAUGAGCUAAUAAUACACAUGGAUUGUGGUAAGCUAUGAGUGGCAUAUAUAGAGACCAAUAGGAAAUGAGUUAAUUCUGAUUGCAGAUAUCUAAGCAGGCGAACAAGGCAUUUGACAUAUGGAUCAAUUUUCCACUGGCAGCAAUGAGGGAGGUUUUUGCAAUGAACGGUUAUAGACAUGGAGGUGGGAAAAGUUAAGCCAUGUACAAGUGUAUUCAUUGGCUAGGGCUGUUGUAACAAAGUACCAGAGACUGGGAAGCUUAGACAACAGGUAUUUCUUUCAUUUUUGGAUGCUAGGAAUCUAAGAUCAAGGUGUCAGCAGGAGGAUUCGUCCCUUCUGAGGGCUGCAAGGGACAAUCUGUUCCAUGCCUCUCUCCCAGCUCUGGUGGUUUGGUGGCAAUCUCUGGCGUUACUUGGCUUGUGGGAGCAUCAACCCUCCAGCUCUGGCGGUUUGGUGGCAAUCUCUGGCGUUCCUGGGCUUGUGGGAGCAUCACCCCAAUCUCCGCCCUCAUCUUCACCUGAUGUUCUCCCUGUGUUUCUUGACGGUGUCUUCUCCAUGUGUGUGUGUGUCUUUGUGUCCAAAUUUUCCCUAUUUAUAAGGACCAAAGUCAUAUUGGGUUAGGUGUCCAUCCUACUGACCUCAUCUCAACUAAUUAUGUCUGCAACAACCUGGCUUUCAAAUAAGGUCACAUUUUGGAGUACUGGGAGUUAGAACUUUAACAUGUACGUUAUUUUUAAGGCCAGGGUGAGAAGGACAUGAUUUAACCUUUAACAACCAGUAUGGGCCAGGUGCUGUGGCUCACGCCUAUAAUUCCAGCACUUUGGGAGGCCGAGGCAGGUGGAUCACCUGAGGUCAGGAGUUUGAGACCAGCCUGGCCAACAUGGUGAAACUCCGUCUCUACUAAAAAUAUAAAAAUUAGCUGGGCUUGGUGGUGUGUGCCUGUAUGUAGCCCCAGCUACUCGGGAGGCUGAGGGAGGAGAAUCGCUUGAACCCAGGAGGUGGAGGUUGCAGUGAGCCAAGAUUGCACUAUUGCACUCCAGCCUGGGCGACAGAGCAAGACUCUGUCUCAAAAAACGACAACAACAACGACAACAACAACCAGUAUGUAAGGCAUAUAGUGUGGCUGACAUGUAGGGCCUGUAGUUUGGAGGGUACGGGAAAGUGAGACCAGAAAGAGACCGUGGCAAGCUUUUUAGUAAAAUACUAAUAAUGGCAAACACUGGUUGACCAGUUGUUUUAUCCCAGGUACUGUUCUCAGCACCUCAUGGAUUUGAUUAUUUAAUCCUCAUCAUUUUAUAGAUGUGGGAAUGGGGGCACAAGGAGCAUACUUGGCUCAACUUUGAAACUUUCUUGAAAUUCCUCCAAAAGGGAUGUACUUUUUAAAAAAAUAAAAGAAAGAAAGUAAACAAGGAAAUGAUGAAGAAAAGUCACACUUUCUGUUGGAAGAAGGCUGCUUUAAUCAGGUUUGUGGAAGCCAAAUCAAUGUGACUCCGCCUUCACCAGCCUGAAUUGUUUUUUUCUCUCCUAAAAGUCGACUGGUCAGGAAGCUCUGAGUCAGGACUGAGUCAUAGUUGUGGUAUGUUCUCCAACUAGAAAACAAACUUUGUUUUUAAAACCACUAAAGAAAUGUUUGAAUAAAUAAAUGUGCUUCUGUAGCCAUCAUCUCUGAUUCAUGAGUUUUUUGAAUGGUUCACUACCAAUGUUCCUCUGAUUGCCGCAGAGUUUGGACAGUGGAUAUUCUCCACACUUAAAGGUGGUCUUGUCCAGUCUUUCCACCGUCCGUCUUGCUACUGCUUUUUAAAUGCCUUCUCAAAAGCUAAUCAAAAAUUUAUGAAUAAUUCCAAGCUGGGCAAACCGGUUCAACUGGCCUAAGUGCAAGAGGAAAAAGGAAAAGAAUUCAAGUGAGAAAUUAUGCUGGUGUGGAUUAUUAAGAGCUAUGGUUUUGUACAAAUACUGCUUCCAGUCUUAGUGGGUCUCUCCUAAAAACCCCAGAGUCCAACCAAACCUAGGAACAGAGAAAAUCUAGAGAAGGUAGAGAGAGAGUUGAAAGUCAUUUCUUUUAAGGUGUUUUACUUUAUGUUUCUAUUUUCCCACACAAGGAACAUUACCCAGAUUUGUGAAUGAUAAUAACACGUUUAUUUCUAUUUGUUAUUUUUCCCUUAAAACAACAUAUAUAUUAUCUUACAGUUUCAAUCGGUCAGGAAUCCAGGCAUAUCUUAGCAGGAUCCUCUGCUCAGGGUGUCACAAAGCUGUAGUCAAUGUGUUGGCCAGGUGGCAGUUCUCAUCUGGAGGAUCAACUGGGGAUGAAUCUGCUUCAUUCAGCUUGUUAAUAGAAUUCAUUUCCUUGCAGCUGUAGAACAUACAGUGCUGUGCUUCUUCAAGGCCAGCAGGAGGGUUGACCCCAGGGAAAUCUUCAGCCCUCUUCUUUUUUUUUUUGAGACAGAGUCUCACUCUUGUUGCCCAGGCUUGAGUGCAAUAGUGCAAUCUUGGCUCACUGUAACCUCUGCCUCCCAGGUUCAAGCAAUUCUCCUGCCUCAGCCUCCCAAGUAGCUGGGAUUACAGGCGUGUGCCACCAUGCCUGGUUAAUUUUUGUAUUUUUAGUAGAGACAGGGUUUCACCAUGUUGGCCAGGCUGGACUCGAACUCCUGACCUCUGGUGAUCCCCCUGCCUCAGCCUCCCAAAGUGCUGGGACUACAGGCUUGAGCCACCGUGCCCAGUUCUCCUCUUCCAAAGGACUUCCAAUGAUUAAGUCAGGCCUGCUCAGGAUAUUCUUUUGGUUAAUUUAAAGUCACCUGGAACCUUAUCCACAGUGAAGAAUGAAUGACUUGCAAGGUUUACCUAUUACUUUCUUCACUAGCUUUAUUUGCAUCUGGGCCUUAUGCCAAAGGGAUGAAAUGCAAAGGGCAGAAUUGCAUUCAUCAGUGAUUCUGAUGGAACAUCUGCAAAAGUCCUUCAUCCUUGCUAUAUAACCUGAGGAUAAUACUAGGGGACAGAGAUCAUGGGGACCAUUUUAGAAUUCUUCAUGCCGUAAUCACUUUCUGGUAAUAUCCUAUUUAUGGUUGUACUUGGAAGGUGCUACAGUUAUCACCCUAUUUUCUGAAUAAGGAAUAAUGACGCUUUUAAAUAGAAAGAUUGAGGCCGGGCACGGUGGCUAAUGCCUGUAAUCCCAGCACUUUGGGAGGCCUAAGCGGGCAGAUCACUUGAUGUCAGGAGUUCAAGACCAGCCUGGCCAACAUGGCAAAACCCCAUCUCUACUAAAAAUACUAGCCAGAUGUGGUGGUGGAUACCUGUAAUCCCAGCUACUCAGGAGGCUGAGGCAGGAGUGUCACUUGAACCCAGAAGGCGGAGGUUGCAGUGAGCUGAGAUGGCGCUGCUGCACUCCAGCCUGAGAAACAGAGCGAGACUCCAUCUCAAAAAAAUUAAAAUAAAUAAAUAAAUAAUAAAUAAAAAGGUUGAAUAUCCUCUCCUAAAUGUAGACUGGGCCAUCAGAAAAUACACUUUCCAUAAUCAUGGAGUCAUAGAAGAGCAUGUUAGACACAAAUUUUUUUCUAAUUUUUUAAAUUUUUUUGAGACAGAGUCUCACCUCAGGCCUCACCCAGGCUGGGGUGCAGCAGUGGCGUGAUCUCAGCUAACUGCAACCUCCGCCUUCCAGGUUUAAGUGAUUCUCCUGCUUCAGCCUCCCGAGUAGCUGGGAUUACAGGCACACACCACCACAUCAGGCUAAUUUUUGUAUUUUUAGUAGAAAUGGGUUUUCACCAUGUUAGCCAGGCUGAUGGACGCUACCUUAUAAUCAGCUGGUCCAUCCCCCUGUGUUUUAGAGACAGAAACCAAGGAAACAGCAGUGACUUGCCAAGGUCACAGAACUUGUUCUUCUGAAUUAGAUUCUAUAUUCAAUGCAUUGAAAGUUUGUGAUCAAAAGUCAGAGUGAAGUAGGGAUUUGCAAAUAAUAAAAACUGAGGUGCAAGAGCUUUUUUUAAAAUAACGCUUUUUUUUUUAAAGAGACAGGGUCUCACUCUGUUGCCCAGGCUAGAGUGCAGUGGCACGAUCACAGCUUACUGCAGCCUCCAAUUCCUGGCCACAAGUGAUCCUCCAGUCUCAGCCUCCUCAGCAUGUACCAUCAUGCCUGGCUAAUUUUUAUUUUAUUUUAUUUUUGAGAUAGGGUCUUGCUCUGUGUCUCAGGCUGGAGUGCAGUGGUGUGAUCUUGGCUCACUGCAGCCUUGACCUUCCCGGCUCGAGUGAUCCUCCCACCUCAGCCUCCCAAGUAGCUGGGACUAGAGGCAUGCACCACUAUGCCAAGCUGAUUUUUGUAUUAUUAUUUUUUUUAGAGGUGGGGGUCUCACUAUGUUGCCCAGGCUGGUCUUGAGCUCCUGGGCUCAAACAGUCCACCUGCCUCAGCCUCCCAAAGUGCUGGGACUACAGGCAUGAGCCACUGUGCCCCACCUCACGUUUUAUUUUUAGUUUUUUGUAGAGACGGGGUUUUGUUGCUCAGUCUGGUCUGGAACUCCUGGCCAGCCUCAAGCAAUCCUCCCACCUCAGCCUCCCAAAGCACUGGGAAUACAGGCAUAAACCACUGCUUAUGGUCAAAAAUAACACUUUCAUGUAUAAUUUUCUCAUUAGAAAUUUGUCAAAUCACACCUAGAACUGAGAACACCACCGAGCCUCUUCAGGGACUUAGAAAUCAGGGAAACCCCUGAUGUGUGUGAAUAUACAUUGGCCUGCGUCCUGGCCGGGGAAGGCAAGUUUAAGUUUUCAGAGGAUUUGUAGGUUGGAUGUCAUGAUUGCCUUCCUCAGGGCUGUCAUUUCUUAAUGUCUUUUAUAUUCUUCUUCUCAUCUCCCUUCUGCACUGAGUCAGGGCCUCUCUCAUGGAGCAACAGUCUUCCCACAGAGAGUAAAGUCAUCACAGUGGAGGCUUGCUCAACCUUUACAAAUUCUAAAACCACAGGCCAACAUUAACUUCCUCCAUUUCUCACCGGAAAUCAACAUGGCCACCACCAUCGUGCCUCAUCCUGCUCCUCUUGGACUGUAAAUCAUGGCUUGUUCAUUGUAAGCCGUCAAUUGCAUGUUGUUUCAGUUGUCUGCCAACUCAAUUCUAUCAGUGUGUUUUGACUGAUAGAAUUUUGUAAACUCCCUUUUACAUUUAUUUGUAUUUGACGAGAUGGUUUGAUUUUGUUGAGCUGUCUUCCUCUUUGUUAUCCCUCCUAUCACAGUUCUUGGAGCUCACUACCCCUUUUCAGAUUGUCAUGGGCAGGCAAAUUGCUGGUCCCCUCGCCUUGCAAGGUCCUUUGCAUAACCACACAGUUUUCACUUGAAAAGACAAUAGAGUUGCCAGAUAAAAUACAGGCCCCUGCAAGAUCUGGAACACACUCUGCACGAUGCCAUGCAGUAUUUGGGAUAUACUUAUGCCAAAACUUGUUCAUUAUUUAUGUGAAAUUCAAGUUUAAUUUGAAUUAAAUAUUGGCACCCGUAUUUUUAUUUGUUAAAUUUUUAUUUGUUAAAUAUUUGUUAAACUUUUAUUUGAUAUACUUAUGCCAAAACUUGUUCAUUAUUUAUGUGAAAUUCAAGUUUAAUUUGAAUUAAAUAUUGGCACCUGUAUUUUUAUUUGUUAAAUCUUGCCACCCUCAAGUACAAACGCCUCUGUACCUCAGAGGCAUAAGAAUGUGCAAAUGGGAUUCAUGCAACUCACAACCUAGACCUCCCUCUCUUUUCUAUCUUCAAAAACCAAUGUUCUUUUACUGUUAAGAACCUUGGGAGAGAGGGAAAUCACAAGGUAGUCUUAAGCAGAUUACUACACUCUUGUAGUGAUAACAUUUAAUUAAAAAAUUGAUUUAUUUUUCUUCUGACUUAAAAGCAAAAUGAAACAAAACAAAACAAAACCCCAAACCACAAACUCAGGCCUCCUCUCUGGGCUUCCCUGCACACAGGCUGAUGUUAACUGCACUGAGCACCCUGGGAACAUCAGUCCAACUGCAGGCACUGGAAUCGCUGUAGACCAUGACGGACAAUGGCUCCCAUACACACAGUAUUCCAGUCUUGGGAGUGAAAAUGGCCCCGUGCAGCCUCACGGCCCAUGGGUUUAGGCUGAACUUUGAGACCAUUUCUUUUUAUUCACACCUGGGAUGGCCUAGCCCAACUGAAACCAAGCAACCUGGACGCCCUAUCAGUGGCUGUGAAAUCAUAGGCCAAAUUCCUCUGUGGCAAAGACUUCCUGUAAAAAAUACCGUUAAGGCCUAGCCAGGUCCGAAAUGAAUAAAUGAAUAAUCAUUGAUUAUUGAUCAAUGCUUUUUAAUCAGUGCCCUCUGUGAAAAGGAACUAUCCCUCCCCACAAAACUCUUUUAUGAAUAGAACCAGAAUGGUUGAAGGGUGGUUUCAUUCUUUUUUUUAAGAGAUGGGGUCUUGCUGUGUUGCCCAGGCUAGUCUUAAACUCCUGGCCUCACGUGAUCCUCCUGCCUCAGCCUCGGCCACUGAGCCUGGCUCAUUCACUUUUUACCUACUUUUGGAACCUCAAAUGGUAACUAACUUACCAAGUGAUUGGCAUAGCUACCAAGGUGAAAUGUUAAAUUUAAUGCAGUGUCACAUCGUUCUUCCAGAUUCGUGGUGAGUAGGAUUAUCCAACAAUCCCUCUCAUGUAUUUCUUUCUUUUUUUUUUUUUUUUUUGAGAUGGAGUCUCGCUCUGUUGCCCAGGCUGGAGUGCAGUGGCACGAUCUCGGCUCACUGCAAGCUCCGCCUCCUGGGUUCACACCAUUCUCCUGCCUCAGCCUCCCGAGUAGCUGGGACUACAGGCACCCGCCACCACGCCCGGCUAAUUUUUUGUAUUUUUCAUAGAGACGGGAUUUCACCGUGUUAGCCAGGAUGGUCUCGAUCUCCUGACCUCGUGAUCCACCCACCUCGGCCUCCCAAAGUACUGAGAUUACAGGCGUGAGCCACCGUGCCUGGCCCCUCUCAAGUAUUUCUAACCAAAAUGAUCAACCUUCUGUACCCUGAACUUACAGAUUCUGUUCUAAAGUCAGUGUGAGAAUUAUUCCAUCUAGGUUAGUACAUUUGUCUCUAGAAAAACGACCCAUGGGGAGACAGUGUUCCCCAUGCCAUUCCUUGCCUUUUGGGCCCACCACAAAUCCUGAUAUUUAAGGCCCUUAAGUUAAAUAAUUCUGCCAUGAAGCAUGAAAUGUAAGUACAGCUUAAAUAAUCAUAAAAGAGAGACUAUAUGUCCAAGCAGGCAGCAUGCACCUUGAUGGGUGAUGAGUACGUUAAGAUAAAUCAUGCCCAGAUUGCAAGGUGUGGGAGGCGUAGUGCACCAUCCAGAUUGCCCGGCAAAUCUGAGGGACUCUGGGAGUGCUGCUGGCUGACAGCCUUCAGCUGUCUGUCCUCUCCAGAAAUUGCUCUUGGCUGCAGAGAUCCUCUUGCUUAAGGUCAUGUCCUCUUGUGAGGGCAGUCGGUAUCCGAUGACUGUUCAUUGCAGAGGUAUAAGGGCUCGGACCCCGUGCCCCAACUCAUGACAACUCUGAAGGCCCAUGGGGUCAGCUGAGGUCACCCUUUCUCCUGGGGUGUUAAUCCCAAGAGCACUCUAGCAGGCGUCCUGCAUGCUAACUUCCAUCUCAGAGCCUGUUUCCCCAGGAAGCAACCUGUAACUGGUGAUAUCAAGGAUAUUUCAACAUGGCCUGCUGCAGUGGCUCACACCUGCAAUUCCAACACUUUGGGAGGCUGAGGCAGGAGGAGGGCUUGAGCCCAGGAGUUUGAGACCAGCCUGGGCAACAUAGGGAGACCCUGCCUCUGCAGAUAAUUUUAAAAACUUAAUUUCAAAAGUAAUAUUCCAAGAAAGCAGAUGCUAAGAUGGGAUUCUGCAGCUGAGUCACCUGUGUUUCUGGUUGGCAAUGAGGACUUCAUAACCGCUGGUAGAUGAGGCACAGCCUAGCCCUAGGAAAAGGCAGCAGUGCAAUUGUUAAAACUUCUGCCAGUAGUGAAUUUGGAUGGCAAAUGAGUGGAGGGGAAUACAGUAGCCAUCGAAAUGUAUUAGACAUUUGAGAAACGUGGGGGGAAUGAAGGACAGUGGAAUUGGAUGACUGUUGCAGGGGAACUGCCGCUUCGAAAAAUGAAAGGCUGGCAGUGAAUGCACAACUCACCAGCUAGGUAUGAAAACCAGAGACCUUCUUGGCAACGUAUAAGGGAAUCCCCAUCUCCAGUCACCAGAGAGCAGAAAAAGCUGAGGAUCAGGCCCAGUUUUUAAUCAUAAGAGUAGCAGAAUUCUAGAAAGUGUUAAACUCUCAUCCUGGGUAGGUCUGCUUUGCCCAGGUCGGGGCUCUGAUGAGCAGAAAGUGGAACCUGGAGAUAUGAGAUUGAAACACUUGUGUCCAUGUGCUUGAAAAUCCUGAUUCCCCAGAACCCUUUGAGCCUAGGGAAUGGCUCCCUCCUCCAUACUAAGGGCUAGCACCCACCCCAUUUAUUUGAACACAGUGCAGCGGCCAUGUCCCUGCAAGACAGCAGGCACCCUCUUCAGGGUCUGUCCUUACCUGCCCUCUUGACCAUUAGGCCAAUAACUAUAUUCUGUAACCCACCUGGGGAGAUGCGGGACCUGUGAAGGGAGAAAAAGAGCGAUACACUGAAGGGGCUGCAGGGCCAAGCUUACCUCAGUGGGCAGGAUCCAGCAGAGCGCAGACAGGGCUGGGCUCUGAGAGUGCAGAAUCAGGGAGUGGGGUUAGGGUGGGAGGUUGGGGGUGGUACUGACUGUUUUUUCUUACUUUCUGUACUCUUAAUGCUCUGGCAUUUGGGGCCUUCAUCCUGGAGAGGCUCCCAGGGCCAGCUAAUUCCUAGGGAUAGCAAGCGACAUCCCUGUGAGCAUGCAUUUCAUAUACAAACCAGCCAAUCCAGAGCCACACCCUCAGCCAUCUCUUUUAUCAGACUCUCACACACCAGCCUGGCAUGGUGGUGCAUGCCUGCAGUCCCAGGUACUUGGGAGGCGGAGGCAGGAGGAUCCCUUGAGCCCAGGAGUUUGAGGCUGCCAUGUGCUCUGAUUGUGCCUGUGGUUAGCCACUGCACUCCAGCUUGGGCAACAUAGUGAGACCCUGCCUCAAAAAAAAACCAAAAAACAGAAAAACUCUCACACACCAAGCUAAUAUUCCCCUUGCCCUAAAUUGCCCCAGGGCAGUCACUGGGCAAAUGGGGAUCACCCCGUAGCCGUAGCCCAGAGCCAGUUGAAAUUAUUCAAACUAUCCAACACUAUACUUACUUUGCAUCCUUACCCUGCCUCACCCAUGCUUUCCUGAGAAAACCCCAAGAAAGGCUCUGGGCCUGCCCUCCCUCUUCUUAUCACUCCUGAGCAUCCCUGGUCCUUCCCUAUUGGCCCUGCAUGGUGUGCUGUGCCUCGUGUUUCAGGGAUGUGUGAGUAUGAACUUCCUUCCUGACAAUCAUUUCCAUGUCUGCUGUCCCACCGUACCUGAAUAAAACAAUUCCUUGGUACAUUUUUAACACAGGGUGGAGCGCAGAGCUGGGCAAGGGAAAUUUGAUAGAUAUGGGAGCAUUCUCCAAGGAUACAAGAUUUAAUACUCUGGCAAGGAUCCCAGGAGGAAGAACUCCUGUGUUGCUAGUGGGGCUUCUGGGAGGCCGGAGAAAGCAAUGAUUCGUGCUAAACCAAGUCAGUGUGCCAGAACUAUUGUGGCAAGCGCUGGAAGAAAAGAUCACAAAGGCCAGAGAAGUGGGUAUACUAGAGUAUACUCGCACUAUGUGAGGCUGGAAAAUUCACCAGAUAGUCUGCAGGAGAGUCUGAAGUACAUGCCACUUCCUGAAGUGAUCAGGAAUGAACUGGGGAGAGGGACACCAGCAUUGUUGAAAAGUUUGGCGAGUCUCACUGGUUCAGCUGUUCUCAAUAGACCAGCACUGAUGGUCAUUAUAGAACUGGGAUCUCUGAUGACAACAGGGAUGAUAAGAUCCCCAAAGAAUAGGGAUCAGGUGGUUACAUUUUGCUGUCAGAAGUGAGGGGGCAUGAUGGUUAUAAUGAGUGCAAGAUCAGAAGGUCAGCUAAGGGAACAAGUCCGCACAGAGCUUUGGAGAUGCUUCAUAGACAUAGUGUUCCUAGGGCUCUGUGGAGGGCCAUCACAUGGAUGAGCACCGAUUAACUUAUACAAUAAAAAAAUAGAGGAUGGAUGAGGGCAGCUGCCAUAAUAAAAAUAUAUGAUUCCAAGCAGGGCAUGGUGGCUCACGUCUGUAAUCCCAGCAGUUUGGGUGGCUGAGGUGGGAGGACCGCUUGAGGCCAGCAGUUCAAGACCAGCCUGGUCAACAUAGCGAGACCCCAUCUCUACAAAAAAUUUAAAAAAAUUAGCCAGGUAUGGUGACACACACCUGUAGUCCUAGUUACUUAGGAGGCUGAGGCAGAGGAUCACUUGAGCCCAGAAAUUCGAGGCUGCAGUGAGCUAUGGUUGUACCACAGCACUUCAGCCUGGGUGACAAAGCAAGACUCUAUCUCUAAAAAAAUUGUAAAAAAUAAUUAAAAAGUUACAAUCCCUUGUUCUUUUUUUGGGGCCUGAGAUAUUUUUCAAGCCCAGAAUCCAAUGACCGAAGAAGAGGCUGGGUCCUCACUAGGAAAAGCCCGGCAGCCUCAGGGCUGUAAGUAGUAAUGUUUGCCCCAGGCUUUCCCCAUUGAUCCUUAUGGUUAUUUUCUCAGAUAACGACAUUGCUUAUCCUCAGAGCCAUGAUACACCCCUGUUAGAAUGGAGGCAUGUGGGGUUCAGACAGUAAAUGGAAUUCUGGCCCAUGUCUGGCUCACAUUGAUUCCACUGGGUCUACUGACCCGUCUGGUGGGCAUUGCCCCAGAACCUGAAUAUGCAAUUAAUGUAGAAUCAAUCUACGUUGAUUCCUUGGCCUUUGUGGUAAGAGCUAUUGCAAUUAAGAAGAAAAGGGGAGAGUCUUUGAAACUCCCCCAUCAGCAUCAAUUAUUGUCAUUUAAAAAAAUCAUCCAGAAUAAUAGCCAUACUGGCCAGUUUUUCCAGCACUGUCAUAAGGAGGGAAGGGAGCCUGGGAGAGCCACACACCCAAAGUCCUUUCAUAGCCCGCCAGGAAGGGGAGUGUUGCAACUUGGAAAUAAGCAGUUGAGAUACAGAUAGGAAAACAAGCCUCCCGUAGUGCACCUACAGAGACCCUCUCCAAGCUUCAGGGCCCCGGGCCACCUGCCGCCAGGCCAAGCUGCUGUGCUGUAAGCUCCUGGACCACAUUCUCUGGCUCAUGAUGUACAUGCUAUGUCAUCGGUGUGGAUUGUUGAACAACAUAGAGUUAGAUAUUGAACACCACGGAUUUUAAAACACAAGGGACUGGAUUAUGUAAGACAUAAACAAUAGGCUGGGCACGGUGACUCACGCCUGUAAUCCCAGCACUUUGGGAGACUGAGGCGGGUGGAUCAGUUGAGGUGAGGAGUUCGAGACCAGCCUAACCCAAUAUGGUGAAACCCCGUCUCUACUAAAAAUACAAAAAUAGCCGGGCGUGGUGGUGCACACCUGUAAUCCCAGCUACUCGGGAGGCUGAGGCAGAAGAAUCACUUGAACCUGGGAGGCGGAGCUUGCGGUGAGCUGAAAUUGUGCCAUUGCACUCCAGCCUGGGCAAUAAGAACAAAACUCUGUCUCAAAAAAAAAAACAACAAAAAAACAACAAAAAAAACAACUAUAUCUAUAUGUCUAUAUAUCUAUAUAUCUAUCUAUAUCUAUAUAUAUGUGUGUGUGUGUGUAUAUAUAUAUAUAUAUAUAUAUAUAUAUAUAUAUAUAUAUAUAUAAAUAGUUCAGAGAGAAUUAUGGCCCUGGAAUAGAUGAAGCCUUCAAAUGCAGGCCGAAGGUUCUGAGGCAUCCUCCAAGAUGCUCUGGGGCCAUCGUGCGAGCCAGGCUGGCAGGUUUGGAGACAGUCAGAGGAGAAAACCUCUUCCAUGUCAUCAGCUCCGAACUCCUAACGCCCCUGAGACCACCCUCCUUUACAGACAUUGUCAAAGCCAAUCACUGUAUGAGAGGAGGAAGGAAAGGGAAAGGAAAUUAGGGCAUGCUAAUAAAGGGACUGUGGGAGCUUGAGGAAAGAUUACGGGUUAAAGGUAAAUGUAAGAAAAAACAGGCCAGAUGAAGUGGCUCAUGCCUGUAAUCCCAGCACUUUGGGAGGCUGAGGCAGGUGGACUGCUUGAGCCCAGGAGUUCGAGACCAGCUUGAACAACAUGGUGAAAACCUGUUUCUACAAAAAAUACCAACAUUAGCCGGCUAUGGUGACGUACGCCUCCAGUUCCAGUGAUACAGAAGGGCUGGGCUCCUGGCUAAACCCCAGCCUUAAGCCUGGAACCGUGGCCCUAAGUGAAAACAGCUGAUCCCAUUUUUCUGCCCAAAUGUGGCUUUUUGGGCCUCCCCCGCCCCUAUCCUGUGCCCAUAAAAGACUUCAGCUGGCAGAACAACACAAGUGGCUGAGUGUCGCGGAUCCAAGCAGCUGAGUGUUGUGGAUCCAAGCAGCUGAGCGGUGAGCAGAGAAGCAACUGAGCACCAGAGACUACAGAUAGAUGUGGCCAACUUCAGACAGCGUGGCUUCAGAGAGGGGCCCAGCCAAAGACGGCAGAGCUUCAGGAAAAGAUCACCUUCGCAUGCCCUUUCCAGCCUCCCUUUCUGCCCAGAGCCACCCACUGCUCAAUAAAGUCUUCCGCAUUCAUCACCUUUCAAACACUUCAUGUGACCUGAUUCUUCCUGGACACCAGACAAGAACCCAGGUGCCAAGAGGGGAGGGGCUGCCACCCUGACCCUCCACUGAGCUGACUGGCACUUGGCUGUCCUCAGACGGCAGAGCUGAAAGGGCAAUUGGUUGUAACAUGCUUGGAUGCUGCUGCGGGGCCUGCACAGAGCCUGCUCCUGCCGGAGAGGAGCGACCAGCUGGCUCCAGAGUUCAUUCGCUCUAGUUCCUGCACUCACUCACUCACACGCCACCUCCCAGGAGCAGUGGCCAGUGGUGGGCUAAAUCUAAAAAAUAAAAUAAAUAACCUACUAAAUCUGAAAGGUAAUGAAAGAUAUAAGUUGAAAUGCUUUAGAUUUAAAGUGGAAGAAAUAAAAGGUAAAAGCUUUUAUUAGCUAAAUUAAAAGCUUGAAAAAUGAGGAGACAGAUUUUAGAUUGAGAUUAGAAAUAUAUGUAAUAGGCAAAAAGGAAUUGCAUUUUACUUUAUUUGAUAGGAAUAAAAAGGAAAGAAAGCUGAACGUGGUGGCUCAUGCCUGUAAUCCCAGCACCUUGUGAGGCUGAGGCAGGAGGAUUGCUUGAGCCCACUAGUUUGAGAUCCGCCUGGGCAAUACAGUGAGCCCCUGUUUCUACAAAAAAUUAAAAAUUAGCCAGGUAUGGUGGUGCACACCUGUAGUCCUAGCUACACGGGAGGCUGAGGUGAGAGGAUUGCUUGAGCCCUUGAGGUCAAGGCUGCAGUGAGCCAUGUUUGUGCCACUGCACUCCAGCCUGGGCAACAGAGUGAGACAGUGUCUCAAAAAGAAGGAGAAGGAGAAAGAAAGAGAAGGAGAAGGAGUGGAAGAGGAGGAGGAAGAGGGAAGAGGGAAAAAGGAAGAAGGAAGAAAGAGAAGAGAAAAGAAAACCAGGAAAGAUGGAGUAAGAGUGAUAAGACUAAAUGUAACUCUAAAGUUGAAUUUUUAAAAAAAUCUGAAGUCAUUCAACAUACAGGGCAAUGGGCAGUCCUCAGAACUAUGCAUGGAUGUGGAUUUCUCCAGAGUCAACAGUCCUAGCCCUGGGAGCUCAGCACUGGGUUCUUGGUUCUAUGACAUAGACAAGACUUCCAAUCCUCCAUUUGACUUGAACAAAGCCUCUCAUGGUCACGACCAAUUUCUAGAUCAGCUCCCUCUGCAGAGGUAUCUUAUCCACCCCAAAUCAACACUCAAGUCUCCUGAAGAGCAAUGAAAUGACAAAGAACAAAGCAUUUAGAUAAAAAGACUGGGAGCUCUCACUACUCAUUCGAGGAGGGCCACCCCCAAUCUGCAGGGACCCAGGGACAAAACAAGGUCCCUGUCUGCCAACAAGACAGUGGCAGAACCCGUGGAUGUGCAAACAUUUGAAAUCUUGCCUUGUUCUCUCCCAAAUGUUUCCCAAUGAAAACCUUCAAAUAAUUUCAAUAACAGGUUUAAAAAAUCUACACAGGCCAGGCAUGAUGGCUCACGCCUGUAAUCCCAGCACUUUGGGAGGCUGAGAUGGGCGAAUCAUGAGGUCAAGAGAUCGAGAUCAUCCUGGCCAAAAUGGUGAAAUCCCGUCUCUAUUAAAAAUACAAAAAUUAGCCAGGCAUGGUGGUGGGUGCCUGUAAUCCCAGCUACUUGGGAGGCUGAGGCAGGAGGAUUGCUUGAAUCCAGGGAGUGGAGGUUGCAGUGAGCCGAGAUUGCGCCACUGCACUCUAGCCUGGUGACAGAGCGAGACUCCAUCUCAAAAAAAAAAAAACAACUACAUAAUUUUUUUGAAAUAAUUUAUGUUUUUUUGAGACAGGGUCUCACUCUGUGUCACCCAGGCUGGAGUGCAGUGGCGCAAUCAUGGCUCACUGCAGCCUCAACCUCCUGGGCUCAGGUGAUCCUUCCACCUCAGCUUCCCGAGUAGCUGGAACCACAGGCAUAGGCCACCACACUUGGGUAAUAUAUAUAUAUAUAUAUAUAUAUAUAUAUAUAUAUAUAUAUAUAUAUAUUUUGGUAUUUUUUGUAGAGACGAGGUUUCACCAUGUUGUCCAGGUUGGUCUCAAACUCCUGGGCUCAAGCAAUCCUCGCACCUCAGCCUCCCAAAGUGCUGGGAUUACAGAAAUAAGCCACCACACCCAGCCUAUCUUGAAAUAGUUUUAAGUGUAUAGAAAAGUUGCAAGAACAGUACUGUUAAAUAAAAUUUAUGGGAGGCCAUAUGGUUUGGACUGAGCUCCUGUACUAGACCCAAUGACCAAACCAAAACAGAGUCCCAUAUGUUGAAGUGCCAUGUCCCCAAGCUGAAACUAAGUUGUUCAUCUGACCUUCUGAGAAAUCAGGAGUGAGAGAGAUAAUAGCCAAAUCCCCAGACACUUUAGUUGGCAUGACAAGGAAGCCUCCCUACUUUAAUCUUUACAAGGAAAGUAAGUUUGAAACAACCAAUCCACUUUUUGUUCUGUUUCUGCUUUCCUUAGCCCUUUUCUGUCUAUAAAGCCAACCUCCUCUGCUCUGCUAUAUUAGUCUGUUCUCACACUGCUAAUAAAGACAUACCUGAGACUUGGUAAUUUAUAAAGAAAAAGAGGUUUAAUGGACUCACAGUUCCACAUGGCUGAGGAGGCCUCACCAUCAUGGCGCAAAGUAAAGGAGGAACAAAAGCACAUCUUACAUGGUGGCAGGCAAGAGAGUGUGUGCAGGGGGAGCUGCCCUUUAUAAAACCAUCAGAUCUCAUGAGACUUAUUCACUAUCACGAGAACAGCAUGGGAAAACUCGCCCCCAUGAUUCAAUUACCUCCCACUGGGUCCCUCCCACAACACGUGGGAAUUAUGGGAGCUACAAUUCAAGAUAAGAUUUGGGUGGGGACACAGCCAAACCAUAUCAUCUGCUUAUUGGAGCACUCAUUCUAUUAUAUAGAAUGAGGAAUGAGGUGUAGCUGGAUUUUAGAAUCAUAUGUAAAAGCCAGUUAAGAUCUUUAAACUAAAUUUAUUGUAAUUUUGUCUUUCAACAGUACACAAAGAACUCUUGAAUCCCCUUUUAUCAUUUUCUGAACCAUUUGAGAGCAAGCUGCAAUCAUAAGAUCCAGCACCUCUAAACACUCCAGAAUAUAUUUUUAGAUAUAACCCUGUAAUGGCUGAAAAGUGUUCCCCCCAAAUUCACAUCCUCCUGAAACCUCAGAAUGUGACCUUAUUUUGAAAUAGGGUCAUUACAGAUGUAAUGAAGGAUCUCCAAUUGAAUCCGUCCAAGGAUUAAGGUGGGCCCUGAAUCCCAUAGACUGGUGUCCUCAUAAGAAAAGGUGAGGACAAAGAGAGACACAGAGACACACAGAUAGCUAUGUGAAGAUGGAAGCAGAGGUUGGGGAUCUGCUGCCACAAACAAAGGCACCCCAAGUAUUGCCAGCAACCACCAGAAGCAAGGAGAAAGGCAUGGGACGCUUUCUCCAUCAGAGUCUCCGGAAGGAACCAAGCUUACUGACACCUUGAUUUUGGACUUCUAGCCCCCAGAACUUCAAGAUAAUACAUUUCUGUUGUUUAAAGCCAUGUGGUUUGUGGUAAUUUGUUAUGACAGUGCUAGAAAACUUAUACAAACCCUCCAAGGCAGAAAUAAACAUGGGCACAACACUGCUACCCAAUCCACAGAUCCCAUUCAAAUUUUGCUGGCUCAGCCCAUCAUGUCUCUUUUCCCUUUCAGGUCCAGGAUCCAGUCCAGGAGCAUGCAUUACAUUUAGUUGUCACAUGUCCGAAUAGAAGGAAGGAGAUUCCCUUCAAUAUGGAAUAAUUUCUUAGUCUUUCCCUGUCUUCCACAUCCUUCCGUUUUUUGUUUUUGUUUUUAUUUUGAGACAGUCUCACUCUGUCACCCAGGCUGGAGUACAGUGGGGUGAUCAUGGCUCACUAUAGCCUUGACUUCUCCAGGCUCAGGUGAUCCUCCUACCUCAGCCUCCUGAGUAUCUGGGACUACAGGCGUGUGCCACCACACUCGGCUAAUUUUUGCUUUUUUUUGUAGAACAGAGUUUCAAGUUGCUCAGGCUGGUCUCAAACUCCUGGGCUCAAGUGAUCCACCCACCUUGGCCUCCCAAAGUGCUGGGAUUACAGGCACGACCCACUGCAACUGGCCCCACAUCCUUCAGUUUUUAAGAGUGCAGGCCUUUUGUUAUGUAGGAUGGCCCUAGACCUGGUUCCAUCUAAUAUUUCAUUUUGGUCAGACCUCGCCAUGAUUUCUUGACAGGAAAAUGAUGGACAGGAUCCUGGGCUCUGCACAUUACAGCAUAUGAUGUGGUCUUGUCUCAUCACUGGUGAUGUUAAUCUUGAUUGCUUGGUCAUGUUGGUGUCUUCCAUAUUUCUCCUCCAUUGAGUCACCAUUUUCACCUUUGCAAUUGAUAAGCAUUUUGUGGGGAGAUUUUCUAAAAUUAUGCUAAAAUCCUGAUCCUUAACAACUUCUACCCAUCAGCCUUAAUAUUUGUGGAUGAUCCCUAUCUGAAUAAAUUAUAACCAUAAUAGUGUCAUAUGGUGGUUUGCUAUUUUCAUCAUUCCUUCUACAUUAAUUACUUGGUAUUCUACUGUAAGAAAGAAGUUCCACUGCUUCCUCUAUUUAUUUACUUAUUUAUUCAUUUAUUUAGUAGUAUGAAUUUCAAUUUAACAGGUUAAAAACCAUGCUUGUUCUUUGUGAAAGUAUAUAACGUUAUUAUCUUUAUCAGAGAAGAAAUGGUUCUGAACUUCUCAAGAAAGUAUACAAGCAGUAUAAAAAUGAGAUAAUUACACUUACUUAACAUACCUUAUUUUCAUCCAAAUAAACACGAAAAGAAUCCAACAUGAUAUUUGAAAUUCUACCAUAGGGUAUUUUACUAGAAAAAUAGAAUCUUGUGUUUUUGGUAAUGUUUGUUCAUAUCACAAAAUUACUGAGAAGCGAAACAUUUCUAAAUUCACAUUAGAACAUUGUAAUUCACAUUUGUGUUAGAAUGAUGGUUACCAGAGUCUGGGAAGGGUAGUGGAGUAGUAGAAUGGGGGAUGGUUAUUGGAUAUGAAAAUAUAGUUAGUUAGAAUGAAUAAGAUCUAGUAUUUGAUAGCACAACAGGGUAACUACAGUCAACAAUAAUUUAUUGUACAUUUAAAAAUAACUAUAAGACUAUAAUUAGAUUGUAACACAAAGAAAGGAUAAAUGUUUGAAGUGAUAGAUACCCCAUUUAUCCUGAUGUGAUUAUUACACAUUGUAUGCUUGUAUCAAAAUAUCUCAUGUACGCCAUACAUAUAUAUGCCUACUGUGUACUCACAAAAAUUAAAAAUUGUAAAAAUAAAUAAACAAAACAAAACAAAAUUGUUUGAUAUUUCUUUUAUAAAUUCCCUUUCACAAAUCUUUUCAUGACUUACACAGAACAUCUAUGAAAAGCUUGGACUUUCUCACUUGUCCUAAGCAUCCCUCUUUUUAAACAAUCAGUUAUUUUUCUUUAGGAUGCAAAUUUACGACAAAAGAUCCUUUCUCAUAUAAAAUUUCUUUUCUUUAUAAUCUUCCUUAACAAAAAUACCUCUUUACCUUUAUAACCUUUGAAUUAGAGAAAAGUUAUUUUCCUUCUGUUAGGAAUUUAUGGUUUGUACUGCAUGUUGUUGUGUGUGUCCUGUGAAGGGGAAGCAAAUGAGGAGGUUAUCUACAUACUGUAGAAGUUGUUUCCCCUCAAGAGAUUGCUCGGUUAGAUUUUUGCUAGGGCUCAUCCAAAUAAGUGUGGGCUAUUUUUAAACCCCUGAAGUAGGAUGGUACAGGUUGAAGUUAUCGGUUAAAGAUUUAGGUAGCUUUUUGGGAGAAAUAGGGCUAUUAGAGAGGAAGGUGAAUUCAGAGGUUGGGUACAUAUUAAGCAGCCACCCAUUUUGGAAAGUAUAUUUUUGUCCUAAAGGGGUGUGAAUCUUUUCUUUUAGAGGGAGAGGGUGACAUUUGCCCUGUUACCUGAUAGGAUUUGGAGAAGAGUUGCUUAGAGAAGUAGAUUAGCAUAGACUAGGCAGCUCUUGAACCCAAAAGGGAAAUGUAUAAUUUUACUUGCUACCUCUACUGUUGCCCUUGGCUUUGUCUUGCUGAUGACAAUGUCUGACUUGGAAGCCAGCCAGAGCAGAGGUCUCCUUCAGCUCAAGGCCAUCAGGGAUUGGGAUCCAGUCCUUCGGCCGUCAGAGCAGUUCUUUUCCAGUGGCAGAGCUUGUGGCAAAGGGGCAAGCUGUGCCGGGCUUUUUCCCAUUUAUCUCAUUGGGGCAGUUUGCCUUCCAGUGGCCUGGCUUCCCACACCAAUGACAGUUACCUGAAGGACUGUCCUUAGGGUAACCUGAAGGGGGCUGGAGAGCUUGUAAAGCAGCCAGUUGUUGAGCCUGUCUCUUGUCCCUGCAUUUCCCUUUCUCCUUAGCCCUGUCCUCCUUAUUCUGCUUUUAGUUACAAAAGACUGAGGAGGCUGAUUUGAGGAUUUCCUAUAUAGGGGCACUAGGUUCUAAGGUUGACUUUUGUAAUUUUCUCUCAGUUCGUUUUUAGGCCAAACAGUAUUACAAAAGAAAACUAGUUUUUUGUUUUUAGGUUUGAGGAGGAUCAAAUUUUUCCCAGUUCUUGAGGAUACAACCAGGGGGCAUGUCCCAUGCUAUGAAGACAUGAUUACCCAUUUGUGAAGAGAGAACAGAGGAGGAAAAAAAAGGAAAAAGGAAAAAGAAGGCAUCCCCUGUUACUUCUCUAUCCUGAACAGGGCAUCCCCCAUUCGUCCUUAGGAUUCUGGAAUAAACCAGUCUUACCAUGUCCCCUUAACCUUCGUCCCAUCUCGUCACUAUUAUCCACUUAAGAACAGAGGAAAUAAGGGUGUGAACCAGGCACCCCCUGUCCAUCCUUGGGGUUCUGGAAUGAACUGGUCUUACUGUGCACCCCUAACCUUGCCUUCAUCUCUGUUCUAAUGGUAAUGUUAACCUGGAACAAGCCUUCAUCUCUGUCCUGUGGGUCUCUUGCACCUGCAGGCUUGAGCCAGCCUAGAUCCUUUUCUCCAUGACCUUAUAGUGACUCUUGCCCGGGGCAUUCUACAACAAAUUGAUUAUCUCUUUCCUCAAAUUUCCAUUUCCCAUGUUCUUUAAGUAGAUGAGAAGCCUGUUUUUCAGCUAACUGCCUCGAGGGAGCUGGACUUCCCUCCCUUUGAAUAUGACCUUGAAGAUCUUGAUGCAUAUUGAGAAGGGCGUGGAAGGAUUAGAGAAAUGGAGGCUACAGGAAGAAGUGGGAGGAAGCGAGAGGGAUGCUCAUGGAAAGGCUUUGCUUGCAAAAACAGCAGCCCUUAGAUUUGAGAAGGCAAUGUUUAUUUGCUCUUUUGACAUAGAAGAAGUUGUGGAGGACUUGGAGCUUGGUGGUAAGAACUUGCAAAUGGCAAAGGAAGAAUUUUUCCUCCUGCCAAAGGGAUGCUAACUAAAAAAAAGAAAAGAAAAAAAAGAAAACACAAGUAGGUGGGGUCCUUAAAGGGCCACAGAGUGAGGUCCUAUGCAGGUGCACAAACUGCUUCAAAAGCCACCAGAAAACUAGGCCCUGGGGCAUAACUGGAACAAGAAGUGUACGGUAAAGUCAUCGGGAGCGGUCAGACCUGGGGUUCCGAUCAGUGUCCAUCCCAGCAAUGUGCCAACAGACAGGGGAAAAGUUGGAGGUCAUCCAAGCUGGUGGGGUAAAAAAGUACAAAUCUCCACAAGGGACAUCCACAAGGGAGCCUGUGGCUUUGCUGCCGAGCGAAUGCAGCAAGAGCCGCGGAUGCAUGAAUAAGAGGGCGUGUGUCCAUGUGGGGCAGAGAAGGAAGUUAUGCAGUAUGCAAAGUGGAAACAGGGAAAAGGCAGACUUGCCCCGGAGGCAGAGAGUCUGGAGGGUGCGCAAGGCCAUUUCAAAACACACACAGAGAAAACACAACAGGCAGCACAGGCUUUUGGGAAAGAGCUGAUUUUAGUUGAAAAAGCAGAGGAAAUCCCAGACACUGCACGGUCCUAGGCUUUAGCCCUACCGCUCUCCCCAGCCUCCUGUGCAGGAGGGCCAUUAGCAUCUCAGGUCUACUUGGUGCAGACUCCAGGGUCCUCCUCCCCUCCACGAGCCACCUGUCAGGGUGAGCUGAGAGAUCAGCCGGGGGGAAGCAGAGCCACUGUGGCUGAGAGGAAUCAUUCUGGGGGUUGGUUAGUAAGCAGGAGAGCAAGAGGGCGAAGAAAACUGCAUUUAGGGGUUGAACACCUCCAGCCAAAGAAGGCAAGGCAUAGAGGCGUCUUACCACUAGGGAACAUAUCCAAGUCACAGCACCAAAGUAUGUCAGCAGCAGCAAAUCCGCAUGGGUCUGGAGCAACCUCAAUUCUUGCUUCCUUGAUUUCCUUAGAAGAAAGAAUUCAACUGAGGGACAUAAGGCAGAGAGAGAGAGCGCUCAAGGCAAGUUUUAGAGCAGGAGUAAACGUUAAUUAAAAUUAAAAAGUUUUAAAGCAGGAACAAAAGGAAAUAAAGUAUGCUUGGAAGAGGGCCAAGCAGGCAACUAGAGAGAUGUGAGUGCACAGUGUAACCUUUGACUUGGGUUUUUUAUGCUGGCAUGCUUCCGACGGGGGCUGCAUCCCUUCUCCCCUGAUUCUCCCCUUGGCGUGGGCUGUCUGCAUGCACAGUGGCCUGCCAGCACCUGGGAGGGCCGCGUGCACAGUGUUUACUGACGUUGUGUGCAUGCUCACUUGAGGAGCUCUUCCCUUACCAAUCGAGUGUUCCUAGAAGAAGGUCACAUACCAGUUAAACCCCACCACCUGCCUCUCAGUGCACAAGCUUGAGCUCACCCACUCAACUCCUGAGAUCUUACUGGGAAGCUGCUGGUCACCAGUUUCAGGUUUUUUCUGUCUCUUGGGAGACUGCCUUUCCCUGGUGAGCCGGCUGUGACCAGUUGUUAUCUUA